Molecule: ribosomal RNA, 967 nt
Filed under: uncultured bacterium
Lineage: Bacteria
Description: bacterial SSU rRNA
Rfam family: Bacterial small subunit ribosomal RNA
Source: RNAcentral
GUGCAGGAAGAAAGCCUUCGGGUUGUAAACUGCUUUUAUCUGUGACGAUUUUGACGGUAGCAGAUGAAUAAGGAUCGGCUAACUCCGUGCCAGCAGCCGCGGUCAUACGGAGGAUCCAAGCGUUAUCCGGAAUUACUGGGCGUAAAGAGUUGCGUAGGCGGCAUAGUAAGCAGGCAGUGAAAUCGUGUGGCUCAACCACACAGACAUUGUUUGAACUACUAAGCUAGAGCACGAGAGAGGUAACUGGAAUUCCUAGUGUAGGAGUGAAAUCCGUAGAUAUUAGGAGGAACACCGAUGGCGUAGGCAGGUUACUGGCUCGUUGCUGACGCUCAGGCACGAAAGCGUGGGGAGCGAACGGGAUUAGAUACCCCCGGUAGUCCACGCCGUAAACGAUGGAUGCUAGCUGUUAUCAGUAUCGAUCCUGGUAGUAGCGAAGCUAACGCGUUAAGCAUCCCGCCUGUGGAGUACGGUCGCAAGACUAAAACAUAAAGGAAUUGACGGGGACCCGCACAAGCGGUGGAGCGUGUUGUUUAAUUCGAUGAUAAGCGUAGAACCUUACCAAGGUUUGACAUCUCGGGAAGGUCUCCGAAAGGAGACUGUGCCUUUUGGAACCCGAUGACAGGUGAUGCAUGGCCGUCGUCAGCUCGUGUCGUGAGAUGUAUGGUUAAGUCCAGUAACGAGCGCAACCCUUAUAGUUAGUUGAAUUUCUCUAGCUAGACUGCCCCGGCAACGGGGAGGAAGGAGGGGAUGAUGUCAGGUCAGUAUUUCCCUUACACCUUGGGCGACAAACACGCUACAAUGGCCGGUACAAAGGGCAGCCAAGCAGCAAUGCGGAGCAAAUCCCAUCAAAGCCGGUCUCAGUUCGGAUAGCAGGCUGAAACUCGCCUGCUUGAAGCUGGAAUCGCUAGUAACGGUAGGUCAGCACACUACCGUGAAUACGUUCCCGGGUCUUGUACACACCGCCCGU